CUUAGGUGAACUACUUGGAAACUGCACACCACAGCCUCUGUUUUCAACAGAGUUCAGUCACCUCUUGAGGGCUCUUCUGAUUCUUAUCUUGGUAGACCAUCUCCUCAAGGAUUUCUGCAGGUGAAUACACUGGUGAAACAAUGCCCAAGAGCAUGGCCAGGAGAUUUGAGGAGCAGACACAUCUGGUUCAUAGGUGGAAGGAGCUCGGACUUUGGACUUUGGACUCAAUGUUGGAAUCAGUCAAGACAUUGGGAGGACUGUUGGGAAGAGAUGAUUCUAUUUUGCAAUGCAAGGACAUGAGAUUUAGGGGUCGGGGUAUAAUGAUAUAGUUGGGAUGUUCCCUCCAAAUCUCUUGUUGAAAUGUAAUCCCCAGUGUUGAAGGAGGGGCCUGCAGGGAGGUGUUUGGAUCAUGGGGGUGGAUCCCUCAUGACGGGCUUAGCACCCUCCCCUUAGCGAUGAGUGCGUUCACUCAGAUCUGGUUGUUCACAAGUCUGCAGCCUCUCCUCACCCCUUGCUCCCACUCUCACCAUGUGGCGUGCCCACUCCUGCUUCACCUUCCGCCGUGAGGAAAAGCUCCCUGAGGGCCUCCCCAGAAGCUGAGCAGAGGUGGGUGCCAUGAUUGUGCAGCCUGCAGAACCGUGAGCCAAUCUAACCUCUUUCCUUCAUAAAUUACCCAGCCUCCAGUAUUUCUUUACAACAAUGCGAAACUGAGACUAGCAUGAGUAAAAUACAAAGACCAUGGAUAACUUUUGAAAUCUAAAAACAUAAAAUUAAUAUUAUCUGGGGGAGUCAACACAGGAAAGAUGAGAGCGCUUGGGCAGAGGCUGUUGACCAUUGGUCACAUGUGGUCAGCAGAGAGCAGGUGACCAGCACCCUGGGGCUUUGUGGGAAGCACCAGACAGCCUGGAGCUGAGGUAUUACUUGUAGGGGCCAAAACAAAUAGGGAAAAAGACAAAUUUAGCACACAAAGAAAGCAGAUGCUCAACUGAGCCAGGAGGAAGUCACUAGCAAAGAGGGAAAAAACAGAGCUCUGGAAAAAUAGUGUAAACAGUCACAAGGAAGGGACCCUGUAUUGUGCCUGACCUCUGGACAGGGAUAUAAAGAGCCCGGGCUCAGGGAGCUCCACACCUGCACCUCCCUCUCACCUGCUCCUCUACCUGCUCCACCCUCAAUCCACCAGAACCAUGGGCUGCUGUGGCUGUUCCGGAGGCUGUGGCUCUGGCUGUGGGGGCUGUGGCUCCGGCUGUGGGGGCUGUGGCUCU
This is a long non-coding RNA of Piliocolobus tephrosceles (Ugandan red Colobus), 1262 nucleotides long. RefSeq lists it as uncharacterized. The transcript is spliced from 3 exons. NCBI's taxonomy places the organism in Eukaryota, Metazoa, Chordata, Mammalia, Primates, Cercopithecidae. The record is from RefSeq and is a predicted model, not a curated record.